AUUUAGUAUCGGUGUCACAGACGGACUCUUUAACGAAGGAGAAUGAUGCUGAGAGUGGUAGUUGUGUUGUUAGCCAUAACCUUGGCUUUCGUCACAGUUCACGCAACCUGGAACUAUGAUACACACGGCCCGAUUCAUUCAGGCGGCACUUUGAAUCAUUGGCCCGGAAGGCACUACUACCGUCGUGGAUAUUACGGACACAGAAUACGUCUUCAUUACAGAAAUCGGUAUAGGAGAAGGAGGUUCCCACGUGGUGGAUAAUCACACAGCACACUCUCCGGAUCCUGUUUCUUACAAAAUAUUUGGAUAACCAACCACUGACAGGUUCUGUAAAGAUUAGGAAAGUCAUCGAAGAACAUUGUUCUUUUUUGUGUUUUAUAUAAAUAAAAACACAGUCA
Mizuhopecten yessoensis (Yesso scallop) is the source of this 398-nucleotide long non-coding RNA. RefSeq lists it as uncharacterized. The transcript is spliced from 4 exons. NCBI's taxonomy places the organism in Eukaryota, Metazoa, Mollusca, Bivalvia, Pectinida, Pectinidae. The record is from RefSeq and is a predicted model, not a curated record.